AUUGAACGCUGGCGGCAUGCCUUACACAUGCAAGUCGAACGGCAGCACGGGAGCAAUCCUGGUGGCGAGUGGCGAACGGGUGAGCAAAGUAUCGGAACGUGCCCAGUCGUGGGGGAUAACGUAGCGAAAGUUACGCUAAUACCGCAUACGAUCUAUGGAUUAAAGCGGGGGAUCGCAAGAACUCGCGCGAUUGUAGCGGCCGAUAUCAGAUUAGGUAGUUGGUGGGGUAAAGGCUCACCAAGCCGACGAUCUGUAGCGGGUCUGAGAGGACGACCAGCCACACUGGGACUGAGACACGGCCCAGACUCCUACGGGAGGCAGCAGUGGGGAAUUUUGGACAAUGGGCGCAAGCCUGAUCCAGCCAUGCCGCGUGCAGGAUGAAGGCCUUCGGGUUGUAAUCUGCUUUUGUACGGAACGAAAAGGUUUGACUUAAUACGUUGGACUCAUGACGGUACCGUAAGAAUAAGCACCGGCUAACUACGUGCCAGCCGCCGCUGUAA
RNAcentral lists this ribosomal RNA (500 nucleotides) under uncultured bacterium. RNAcentral describes it as "partial 16S ribosomal RNA". It matches the Rfam family "Bacterial small subunit ribosomal RNA", at positions 30 to 523 of the family's 1533-position model. The record is from RNAcentral.